AAUAUUGGACAUGGGCGAAAGCCUGAUCAGCCAUGCCGCGUGUGUGAAGAAGGUCUUCGGAUUGUAAAGCACUUUAAGUUGGGAGGAAGGGCAGUAAGUUAAUACCUUGCUGUUUUGACGUUACCGACAGAAUAAGCACCGGCUAACUCUGUGCCAGCAGCCGCGGUAAUAA
Molecule: ribosomal RNA, 172 nt
Filed under: uncultured bacterium
Lineage: Bacteria
Description: partial 16S ribosomal RNA
Rfam family: Bacterial small subunit ribosomal RNA
Source: RNAcentral